Molecule: transfer RNA, 73 nt
Filed under: Sphaerodactylus townsendi
Lineage: Eukaryota; Metazoa; Chordata; Lepidosauria; Squamata; Sphaerodactylidae
Description: tRNA-Asp
Rfam family: tRNA
About the family: Transfer RNA (tRNA) molecules are approximately 80 nucleotides in length.
Source: RNAcentral
GGAGCUGUAGCUCAGUGGUAGAGCGGCUGCUUGUCAUGCGAAAGGUCCAAGGUUCAAAUCCCCGGCAGGUCCA